GGCAGCGUGUCAGGAGCGGCCGCACGUGUGAGCAAGGGGCGGAGGGGAGGAAGCUGGCGCCGGGCGCCGCGGCUGCAAGGACCGGAAGGGCCCGGGGGCACGGCCGGGAGCCGCGGGCCGCCUCACACGUGGGCUCCGCGGCCACCGCCCGCCCGGCCCGGCCUGCGCGGCCGCGGCACACCAGCCGAGACCCGGCCGGGCGGCGUCGGGGGAGGGCCAGCACGCCGGCUGGGGCGCGGAGUCGGGGGGCGGCGAGCUCGCUUACCUCUGCCUGUUUCCGGACCACAUUGUCGGGGCUGAGCAGGUUUCCCAGGAGCAGAUCUGAGGUUCGGGGAUUACUCACAGUAGUCAAAGCUGUUCUCAGCACUAAGGUUGCCCCAGUCUGGAUGUCAUUAAUUCCACUGUUCUGACCUCAUGGCUCGGAGACAUCACCAUGGAGACAUCUGACUGCAAUUAUGACCCGCUGCAGCCUCUGGGCCUCAGAUUCUUCAUCUACAUAGUAAGAGUGUUAGACUAGACCUCAAAGACCCCUUCUGCUCUUGAAGUUUUGCAAAGAAUGUCAACAUCCUUUGAGAAAGCAUGAACAUAGAAAAUGAAGAUAUUUACCUGAGCCAUUGCAGGCAUAACUCUGAUCAGCGCUGAAAAGAAUCUGUAAAUGGGUUGAAGUUGCCAUGUUUUAAAAUCAGUGAACACAGCCAAAGAUUAAGUCAGGAGACUUGACUUGAUAUCUGCUUUGAUGUGUCACUGUGAGGUUUUGGAGGAGUCACAUGCCCUCUCAUGGUUAUUUCCUUUUAUGUAAAAUGGGCAUUAUAUUAUCUGCAUACCUCCCUCUAUGAAAUGUUCCCGUUGAAUGAUUAAAUGAGCAAAUAUUGUCAUGCAAAUUAAAGAAAAAGAUUUUAACAAUGGUUUAUAUAUAAUUCAAAACAAAAAUGCUGUCAUUGAAAGGCUUCUUUCCUUGGAAGAAAAUUUAUGUCCCCUAAUUUUUUUGGGGGGCCCCAUUUCACUUUGGGCUUAUCAUUUCCUCUUAUAACUUAAUAUGGCAUAGUAAUAUUUAAAGCAAACAUGUAAAUAAAAGCUUAAUGAAGUCAUGAUAAAUGUGAACAAAGCUAAGAAGAACAUAAAUUUAUAAAAUAUUUCCUUUCAAAUUCAGCCUUGUAAAAAACCUAUUUUAAUUGUAACAGUUGUUAAGCAUAUUUCUAGGUGACCCUUCCCCAACAUCUCUACUGAUUUCACUAUUAAGUUGUCUUUCUAGUCAGAUCUCAAAAACCAGACGUCAAGGGACCAUGUCUAAUUUCUCCUUUGUAACAUCUCAAUACCUACAACAAUGUGUGUACCUGGUAUUUACUCAGCAAAUACUGAUUUUUUUUGUUGCCUGGUGAUAAAAUGUAAAUAAGACAAUGGAAAUUC
Molecule: long non-coding RNA, 1407 nt
Organism: Manis pentadactyla (Chinese pangolin)
Lineage: Eukaryota; Metazoa; Chordata; Mammalia; Pholidota; Manidae
Exons: 3
Source: RefSeq, a predicted model, not a curated record